RNAcentral lists this ribosomal RNA (315 nucleotides) under Triticum aestivum (bread wheat). Its description in RNAcentral is "partial small subunit ribosomal RNA". The record is from RNAcentral. Lineage: Eukaryota; Viridiplantae; Streptophyta; Magnoliopsida; Poales; Poaceae.
AUGUGUUUUUUAGGUGCAUCGGGUCUGCUUUCACCGUUGCUCGGAUUUCUCGCGUGUGCUUUCGUGAUCGUACCAUAUGAGUCCAUGCACAAAGCAACGAAGCAAGGACAACUCAAGCUACAGAGACAGGUGCAGCUCCGCGGGAAGGCGCAAGGCAAAGUAGGUGGCAGGUGUCUAUACUUUCGUCGUCCAUAUAUAGCCGGUGCCUCGCCAUUAGCCAGCUCCAAGCAUUCACAAGAGGAAACGAGCUACCUAGCAUUCGGUACGGGAAUUCGUUCGGUACGCAGCUACAUACAUACCUCCAAGCAGAGCUAG